CCUACGGGUGGCAGCAGUGGGGGAUAUUGCACAAUGGGGGGAACCCUGAUGCAGCGACGCCGCGUGGGUGAAGGAGCGUUUCGGCGCGUAAAGCCCUAUCGGCAGGGAAGAAGAUGACGGUAACUGACCAAGAAGCCCCGGCGAACUACGCGCCAGCAGCCGCGGGAAUACGUAGGGGGCAAGCGUUAUCCGGAUUUACUGGGUGUAAAGGGGGCGCAGACGGCAAUGCAAGCCAGGAGUGAAAGCCCGGGGCUCAACCCCGGGACUGCGCUUGGAACUGCAUGGCGGGAGUAAAGGAGGGGCAGGCGGAAUUCCUAGUGUAGCGGUGAAAUGCGUAGAUAUUAGGAGGAACACCGGUGGCGAAGGCGGCCUGCUGGACUGUGACUGACGUUGAGGCCCGAAGGCGUGGGGAGCAAACAGGAUUAGAUACCCCUGUAGUC
Molecule: ribosomal RNA, 440 nt
Filed under: uncultured bacterium
Lineage: Bacteria
Description: partial 16S ribosomal RNA
Rfam family: Bacterial small subunit ribosomal RNA
Source: RNAcentral